This 32-nucleotide non-coding RNA is filed under the name Mus musculus (house mouse). Lineage: Eukaryota; Metazoa; Chordata; Mammalia; Rodentia; Muridae. The record is from RNAcentral.
UAAUAGAUAAUCAACAAAGUAUCAAGGGCCUC